CGUGAGUGAUGAAGGCUUUCGGGUCGUAAAGCUCUGUCAAGUGGGAAGAACCUGCAGUAUGCCAAUAUCAUAUUGCACUGACGGUACCACUGAAGGAAGCACCGGCUAACUCCGUGCCAGCAGCCGCGGUAAUACGGGGGGUGCAAGCGUUAUUCGGAAUCAGUGGGCGUAAAGAGCACGUAGGCGGCCUGGUAAGUCAGAUGUGAAAGCCCGGGGCUUAACCCCGGAAGUGCAUUUGAUACUGUCAGGCUUGAGUAUGGGAGAGGGAAGUGGAAUUCCUGGUGUAGAGGUGAAAUUCGUAGAUAUCAGGAGGAACACCGGUGGCGAAGGCGACUUCCUGGACCAAUACUGACGCUGAGGUGCGAAGGCGUGGGUAGCAAACAGGAUUAGAUACCCUGGUAGUCCACGCAGUAAACGUUGUUCACUAGGUGUAGCGGGUAUUGACCCCUGCUGUGCCGCAGUUAACGCAUUAA
RNAcentral lists this ribosomal RNA (473 nucleotides) under uncultured delta proteobacterium. RNAcentral's name for it is "bacterial SSU rRNA". It matches the Rfam family "Bacterial small subunit ribosomal RNA", at positions 400 to 863 of the family's 1533-position model. Lineage: Bacteria; Deltaproteobacteria. The record is from RNAcentral.